Molecule: ribosomal RNA, 498 nt
Filed under: uncultured bacterium
Lineage: Bacteria
Description: partial 16S ribosomal RNA
Rfam family: Bacterial small subunit ribosomal RNA
Source: RNAcentral
GACGAACGCUGGCGGCGUGCCUAAUACAUGCAAGUCGAACGAGAGCGACCGGUGCUUGCACUGGUCAAUCUAGUGGCGAACGGGUGAGUAACACGUGGGUAACCUGCCCAUCAGAGGGGGAUAACAUCCGGAAACGGAUGCUAAAACCGCAUAGGUCUUCGAACCGCAUGGUUUGAAGAGGAAAAGAGGCGCAAGCUUCUGCUGAUGGAUGGACCCGCGGUGCAUUAGCUAGUUGGUGAGGUAACGGCUCACCAAGGCCGUGAUGCAUAGCCGACCUGAGAGGGUGAUCGGCCACAUUGGGACUGAGACACGGCCCAAACUCCUACGGGAGGCAGCAGUAGGGAAUCUUCCGCAAUGGACGCAAGUCUGACGGAGCAACGCCGCGUGAGUGAAGAAGGUUUUCGGAUCGUAAAACUCUGUUGUUAGAGAAGAACAAGUGCUAGAGUAACUGUUAGCGCCUUGACGGUAUCUAACCAGAAAGCCACGGCUAACUACGUG